AACACUGUUAACCUGCGGUACCUGCGGAGGGAUCAUUAACGAGUUAGGGUACUUCUCGUGCCCGACCUCCAACCCUUUGUCUACCCGACCAGAUGUUGCUUCGGCAGGCCCGCCGCCCCGCGAGGGGUGGCCGCCGGGGGUCCUUACCGGCCCCGGGUCCGCGCCUGUCGAUGGCCCUCUAUAAACUCUUGCUUAAAACGUGUCGUCUGAGUAAAACAAACAAAUAAAAACAAAACUUUC
Molecule: unclassified non-coding RNA, 240 nt
Filed under: soil metagenome
Description: partial contains 5.8S ribosomal RNA, internal transcribed spacer 2, and large subunit ribosomal RNA
Source: RNAcentral